AAACCGUCCCCUAAAUUUUGCAACUGUAGUAGUUUUGGCCCCCAAGGCCAAUUUUUGAUAAAAUAAAAAAAUAAAAAAUAAAAAACACGUGGCACCUCACUUAGGGUGCCACGUCAGCUUAGAUCGAGUCAAAAUUGGCCUUGGAGGCCAAAACUGUCACAGAUACAAAACUUAGGGGACGGUUU
This 185-nucleotide microRNA precursor is filed under the name Medicago truncatula (barrel medic). RNAcentral's name for it is "MIR2619 microRNA precursor family". It matches the Rfam family "MIR2619 microRNA precursor family". The record is from Rfam by way of RNAcentral. Lineage: Eukaryota; Viridiplantae; Streptophyta; Magnoliopsida; Fabales; Fabaceae.